Molecule: long non-coding RNA, 609 nt
Filed under: Rattus norvegicus (Norway rat)
Lineage: Eukaryota; Metazoa; Chordata; Mammalia; Rodentia; Muridae
Description: long non-coding RNA NONRATT032872
Source: RNAcentral
AGACUGUGUCCUGAAGAUGAAGUUUCCUGUUCACCUCUUGGUGCUGCUGUUUUUGUGGAUUCCUGCUUCCACAGGUGAUGUUGUGAUGACACAAACUCCAGUCUCCCUGUCUGUAAGCCUUGGAAAUCAAGCCUCUAUCUCUUGUAGGUCUAGUCAGAGCCUUUUCCAUAGUGAUGGAAACACAUAUUUGUCAUGGUACCUCCAGAAGCCCGGCCAGUCUCCACAGCUCCUCAUCUACUUGGCUUCCAACCGAUUUUCUGGGGUCUCAAACAGGUUCAGUGGAAGUGGGUCAGGGACAGAUUUCACACUCAAGAUCAGCAGAGUAGAGCCUGAGGAUUUGGGAGUUUAUUACUGCUUCCAACAUACACAUUUACCUCCCACAGUGAUUUAUACCCAACAAAAAUCUACUUGCUUAGAGUGGCCCAGCUGCUAAUAUGAUACUCAUCUUUGUGAAAGACAUGCAAAACAACUCCAGGUCAUUGUUUGCCGCUGUGGUCCUUGAGCAUGACUGCCUUCAUAACAUGUUAUGAGUGAAGUUCUGACCUCCUCAGUUGCAAUUACGAUAUUGGAUCUUCCUCAGGAGAAAGGUAAACGACUGCCAUCUGAGCA